This 496-nucleotide ribosomal RNA is filed under the name uncultured bacterium. RNAcentral describes it as "partial 16S ribosomal RNA". It matches the Rfam family "Bacterial small subunit ribosomal RNA", at positions 29 to 507 of the family's 1533-position model. The record is from RNAcentral.
AUGAACGCUGGCGGCGUGCCUAAUACAUGCCCGUCGAGCGAACAGACGAGGAGCUUGCUCCUCUGACGUUAGCGGCGGACGGGUGAGUAACACGUGGAUAACCUACCUAUAAGACUGGGAUAACUUCGGGAAACCGGAGCUAAUACCGGAUAAUAUAUUGAACCGCAUGGUUCAAUAGUGAAAGACGGUUUUGCUGUCACUUAUAGAUGGAUCCGCGCCGCAUUAGCUAGUUGGUAAGGUAACGGCUUACCAAGGCAACGAUGCGUAGCCGACCUGAGAGGGUGAUCGGCCACACUGGAACUGAGACACGGUCCAGACUCCUACGGGAGGCAGCAGUAGGGAAUCUUCCGCAAUGGGCGAAAGCCUGACGGAGCAACGCCGCGUGAGUGAUGAAGGUCUUCGGAUCGUAAAACUCUGUUAUUAGGGAAGAACAAAUGUGUAAGUAACUACGCACGUCUUGACGGUACCUAAUCAGAAAGCCACGGCUAACUACGUG